AAGGCCCUAGCUUAAUUAAAGUGUCUGGCUUGCAUUCAGGAGAUACAGGUUAGUGCCCUGUGGGUCUUA
RNAcentral lists this transfer RNA (69 nucleotides) under Hemiprocne comata. RNAcentral describes it as "tRNA-Ala". It matches the Rfam family "tRNA". Rfam says of the family: Transfer RNA (tRNA) molecules are approximately 80 nucleotides in length. Their secondary structure includes four short double-helical elements and three loops (D, anti-codon, and T loops). The record is from RNAcentral. Lineage: Eukaryota; Metazoa; Chordata; Aves; Apodiformes; Apodidae.